Molecule: non-coding RNA, 1234 nt
Organism: Pimephales promelas (fathead minnow)
Lineage: Eukaryota; Metazoa; Chordata; Actinopteri; Cypriniformes; Leuciscidae
Source: RefSeq, a predicted model, not a curated record
AUUAAAAUGCCACACCACUACCUGACACCUUAUCACUAUUAUUAACCACUAAUGCCAUGUAAUGAGUUAGUAGACAUGUAAUGAGCGAGAGUUAACAGAUGAAAUAAAAUAAAAAAGUCAUUUAUUAAAACAAUUUACUAAAAAAAAAAAAAAAGAAAUUAUACUCCAGAGUGAUAAAUCCUAAAACAAGCUAUAAGCUGGACAGACAUAGCAAUACCAGUGUUUGUCACAGGAUUUUUAGUAAAACUGUGGUAUGGGUGGACCUCGGUCCUUCUAGGGGGGUCUCGCCAACCCCCCACCCCAGAAGACUUUUUUGUGCUUUUUAAUGUUAAAUUCAUCAAUCUGGUGCACUUUGAGAGUUCAAAAUAAAAAGCUCUAACCCAUAUUCAGUGUGCAAAUUGAACAAAGAAAAACUCAAUCCUCUUUUAGUUAGUGUCUGUCUACAUUGCACUAAUAAUAAAAGCCAUUGUAAAACAAAUGCACUGAUAAAUAAAGGAAACAUUCAUAAUUAGUUUUCACACGUUUAACCUACCUGUCAGUCUCGCAGCUCGCAUCAGCUUCAUGUGGCCAAUGAGAAAGACACAUAGACCUUUCUCAUAUCUUCCAUAUUUGUGGCCGGAAAUACGCAAUUGUCGUGGUGAUCUACUUCCGUUAGAUCCAUUACAAUUUGCAUAUCAAGAGGGCAAGGGGGUAAAGGAUGGAAAGCUUUUCAUUCUUGACAGGGUGUAUAAACAUCUUGAGAAACCUGCCUCACACGUAAGAAUUUUAUUUGCUGACUUUAGUUCAGCUUUUAACAAAAUGCAGCCCCAUAUCCUAAUUGAACGAUUAGCCUCACAUUUUAAGUUACCCGAGCAGAUCUUAUUAUUAGUUUUAAAAUUUUUAACAAAUAGAAGGCAGCAGGUAUAUGUAAAUGGUAAAAUGUCAUCUGUCAUCGUGUCUCUCCUCAGGGCUGUGUGCUUUCACCCUUGCUGUUUAUAUUAUACACCGACAACUGCAGGUCAUCUUGGGAGAACAGCUAUUUGGUAAAGUUCUCAGACGACACAGCCCUGUUGUCCCUAUUACAGGACAACCAAUCUGAUCAGCAAUUGGACUCGUUUCCAUCCUUUUUGGCGUCUCCUGCAUUUGAAGUCAUUGCUUUCAUCUGAUUCAGCAGCUGUCCAUCUGCAUUUCUGUUUGCAUUACUCUGCUUACAUUUUGAACCCUUAGCGAUAAUAAAAGUGUUUUCCAUUUUGGU